GGGAGACAAGUUGAAUGUCUAAACUAUCGGCUUAACUGAUAGUCGCGUUCAAAACUAUCACUCUUGAGUGCAGUAGAGGUAGGCGGAAUUCCUAGUGUAGCGGUGAAAUGCGUAGAUAUUAGGAGGAACACCAGUGGCGAAGGCGGCCUACUGGGCUGUAACUGACGCUGAGGCUCGAAAGCGUGGGUAGCAAACAGGAUUAGAUACCCUGGUAGUCCACGCCGUAAACGAUGAUUACUAGGUGUGGGGGGACUGACCCCUUCCGUGCCGGAGUUAACACAAUAAGUAAUCCACCUGGGGAGUACGACCGCAAGGUUGAAACUCAAAGGAAUUGACGGGGGCCCGCACAAGCAGUGGAGUAUGUGGUUUAAUUCGAAGCAACGCGAAGAACCUUACCAGGUCUUGACAUCGAGCGACGAACUUAGAGAUAAGUUCUUCCUUCGGGACGCGAAGACAGGUGGUGCAUGGUUGUCGUCAGCUCGUGUCGUGAGAUGUUGGGUUAAGUCCCGCAACGAGCGCAACCCUUAUCAUUAGUUGACCG
RNAcentral lists this ribosomal RNA (541 nucleotides) under uncultured bacterium. RNAcentral describes it as "bacterial SSU rRNA". It matches the Rfam family "Bacterial small subunit ribosomal RNA", at positions 578 to 1121 of the family's 1533-position model. The record is from RNAcentral.